UACGAAGGGUGCAAGCGUUACUCGGAAUUACUGGGCGUAAAGAGCGUGUAGGCGGCUUGGUAGGUCCGCUGUGAAAACUCGAGGCUCAACCUCGAGAUGUCGGCGGAAACCACUUGGCUAGAGUCCGGAAGAGGAGAGUGGAAUUCCCGGUGUAGCGGUGAAAUGCGCAGAUAUCGGGAAGAACACCUAUGGCGAAGGCAGCUCUCUGGGACGGUACUGACGCUGAGACGCGAAAGCGUGGGGAGCGAACAGG
Molecule: ribosomal RNA, 253 nt
Filed under: uncultured bacterium
Lineage: Bacteria
Description: partial 16S ribosomal RNA
Rfam family: Bacterial small subunit ribosomal RNA
Source: RNAcentral